GGGCAUAUGGUGUAGGGGUUAUCACGUUCGCUUUGCAUAUCCAGGAUCUUUAUGUUUGCGAAAGGUCUCCGGUUCAAAUCCGGAUUUGUCCA
Non-coding RNA from Rhodocollybia butyracea, 92 nucleotides. The record is from the annotation of a GenBank genome assembly. NCBI's taxonomy places the organism in Eukaryota, Fungi, Basidiomycota, Agaricomycetes, Agaricales, Omphalotaceae.